GUCCGUCUGUCCGUCCGUCCGUCUGUCCGUCCGUCCGUCCGUCCGUCCGUCCGUCCGUCGUCCACACUUCGGACAAUAACUCAAAAACGCUUUCACCAAUUUCCAUGAAACUUAAGUGAAUUGUUUAUAUCUAUUGACGUAAGCUCCCUUUCGUUUUUUUUUUAAUUUCAGAUUUUAAGUUUUGGAUUUAUGGGGCUUUAUUCAUAAAAAAGGGGGAUUUUCAACACUUCGGACAAUAACUCAAAAAGGCUUUCACCAAUGUCCAUGAAACUUUGGUGAAUUGUUUAUAUCUAUUGAUGUAAGCUCCCUUUCAAUUUUUUAUAAAUUUCAGAUUUUAAGUUUUGGAUUUAUGGGGC
This 356-nucleotide long non-coding RNA is filed under the name Mytilus galloprovincialis (Mediterranean mussel). Lineage: Eukaryota; Metazoa; Mollusca; Bivalvia; Mytilida; Mytilidae. The record is from RNAcentral.